ACCUGUCACAUACAUACAAACACAACUGAGAUUAAUAUGAUCAAAUUGAUCAAUAUCGAAUACUAUUUCCUUCGUACUUACAAUUUUGAGGUGGUUCAAUUCACCAUAGUCGGGCUUAUUAUUGCCAAACACUUGCAAAACCUCUUGCCUUGCACGUUCUUGCCAAUCUUGAUGCUUGCUCAAUAAGACCAUUGUCCAAUUAAGCAAAACAGAGGUAGUCUCUUGGCCGGCAAGGUAAAAUAGCUUACACUCUUCGAUCACAUCGUUCAUGCUGAACCCAACAUUUUUGUUAUUUCCAUGUUCUUCAAUCUCUCUAAAACUGGUUUCCAUCAGUAUGCCUAACAAGUCAUCAUUCGCAGCUUCCCCUGCUCUCAUUGCCUUCUCCCUAUUUUUGAUGAUUCCCAUCAAUGAAGCCCGGAUUUCCUUGUCAAUUUCUUUCAUUCUCCUAUUUCUCUUUGUAGGUAAAAACCUAUAUAUAAGCAAUGAAACAACUUUAAAGACAAGAACUAAACAAACUAAUCAAACCCUUAAUUUUUUUUUUUUACCCUCUUUUUACCAAUCAGAAAUCUGCUGGAGCCUCUUAGAAUAACUCUAUGAUUAGCUCAAUCAAGAUAUCUGAGCCGAAAUCAGCUAGGUCUACUUCUAAUAUUUUGCGCGAAAGAAAAUAACUCCCACAAAGCUAAUCAAAGCCUACUCAUAAAUAAUCCUAUAUGACAUGUAUAUAUGAAUGUUUCCAGUGAAGAGAAAUGUGAAUAUACCUCCAUCCUGGAAUGUGAACUGAACGAAAGACUUGCAUUGUGAGUUCAGCUAGCUCUGCCUGGAGCUGAAAAAUCCUUCUUCCUUCUUCAUAACUACUCCCAAAAGCCGUUCGAGAAAUCACAUCACUUGUUAAAUUUGCAAGAUAAGGCCAUACAUCCAACUCAGAUGAUCCUUCUACAGACAUUUGCUUCUCCCACUUUGUAAUUAUUUCGGUACAACUCAAGUAGAAUGCUGGCAACAUAAGCUGUAACAAAAGCAAGAAAUCUAAAUGAGGGCAAAAUCGAAUCUUCCAAAGAUAUGUAAACAAAUGGAGAAGUUAAUUAAUAAACCUUGAGCUUCUCUUGGUGGAAGGCUGGGUUGAUGAGUUUUCUAUGUUUAGCCCACUUCUCCCCCUCAAGGCUAGCCAAUCCAACUAUCAGCAGCCUGGCAAGUGGGAUUGAAUUGACUUUUUGAAAAUCAUUGAUCUUGGUAAAUAUCGCUUUUAUUUGAUCAGGAUUCAUAAUAUUCACCCUUGGUGUCGGACCAAACCACAUGAAAGAAUUCUUACCUGCAGAAAUUUUUUACCAAUAUACGCACAUGUUACUUGUUAGAGGCAGAUGGUACAUUGAAAAUGGUAGUAUACCUAAGCUGUGAAAAAUUAGUGAUUUUAUUCACAAAUCAGUCAAAGAAUAACCAUUCAUACUAAUUGAUUUUACCUCAAGCAGAAAAGAUCUAACAAGCAACUUUGCCCAUUAUAAGGUAAACAAUUAGAAACAUGGCACGAUUUAUAAGAUAAUGUAAAAGCCUAACGGCGUUGAAACAGUGAAUUAAUCAGACAACACUCAGCAAAAGGAACAACGCUGCCCUCUGGGAAUUUUACAUGUGGCAUAGCCCAUCCACAGGUUGAAUUACACCCACGCACCUAUCUCAUCAAUACAUUAGUGGUUCUAGCCACUCAGUCAAGGCUGAGUGGUAAAGUAUCACCACUUAAUUAAAAAAAAAAAAAAAAGGAAAAAAAAGAGAGAGAAGUUUAGCCGCAACGUCGAUUUUUUUCUCUGAUCAAAGAAGCGUAAAAUUAUGUUUUAACCCACCAAAAUUUUCAAGAAUUAUCUUUACGUGAACCAUCUCUACUGAAUCAGAAGUCUAAUCAAAUUUCUUUCGUCGGAGAGGAUUAAUUCUUUAAGCAGUGGCACAGUCCAGAUAUUUGAGUCAUUUGAGACCAGAACAGAACGUAUCUACUUUUGAACGAGUAAAAUUAAAAGAGUACACGCCGGGAUUGACAUACAUACCAUAAUCAUUUACCAGUUUAUGAAGGAAUGGAUUGACACGAAUAGCAAUAUUGUCAUCCAAACUGAGGGGUCUGGCUUUGGCUUCCUUCAGCUCGAUGGAAUUUUCUUUCAAGUCACCAAACAGAAGCCUGUAAGAAUUGCCUUUUAAACCUUGCUGUCUCAGGAAUUUCUCCAGCUUCUUGGGCCUCAGCCACACCCAGUUCAGCACUCUCCAUGCCCAUGUUAGCACCGUUAGAAUAACAAUGGUAACAGCUAUGGAUUUCAGAGGCAACUCCAUUUCACACUGACAGAUUUUGCGGGUUUAAAUUUGCAGAGACGAACGAGAAUGAUAUAUAUAGUCAUCAAGCGAAUGAGAAAAUCGUUUUCCUUUGCAUGUGUUUUUGAUUAGGUGUUUUCUGGAUCGAUACGUGUCAAGCUUGCAUGUGACUGUGAACUGUGGACCCUGUUCUAGAACUAGACUGUUUGGGAUCGAUUAAUUUUAAAAAAUAAACUAAAAUUCAUAUGGUAAGAAUUUUUAAGUAUAAAUGUUUGUAAAAUAAAAUCUAAACCUACAUUUGAAUGGCAAGCAUCUAGAAACAAGAUCUGUAUUCUGUCAUAUGACGCCAGGAAAUAUACUGCCUUUUCGUAAAUGCAUAAUCAAGCAGCAUGAUGUGCUCUGCUUUCACACGAAUGUAGGUCCACUUUGUCUUGGCUUUUACGGAAUUUCAAUUCUAUUGUUAUGGGGAUUAAUGGCUCUGCUUAAUUUUGGGGUCUGCUUUCAGAGAAAUACAAAACGAUUAGAACUCUGCUUUGUGAUACAGACAAGACGCAAUGGAUCUAUCAUCUUCAUCUCUACUCCUAUUUCAUUUAUCUUUAUCAUGAAUAUAAUCCACGAUUCUCAAACAUGAUAAACAAGGUCACAAACUAUGGUGUACCAAUCGGCUGUUUUUUUUUUAACUUAAUUAAUUUAAUUUAAAUCAUUGAGUCCAUUUAUUUUUUCAACUUAAUGAAAAUUUUCAAUCACUAAAUCAUUCAGUUACCAAGCUAAUUUUUAAAUUUUUUGUUUAAUCUAAAAAGUCUAAAUAAUAACAUUAAAAGAUUUUCUCUAAAAUAUCUCUAUCUAAUUAAUUAAUUUUUACCCUUACCUAAAUAAAUUUUAAUAAUUGAUGUUAUUACCUACCUCUAUAACUUGUGAUAAUAUAGUGCACUAGUAGACUACUAUUAUUUUUUAUUUUUUAUUUUCUUCAAAUUAAAAUUAUUUAUCUUCAUAAUUUUUCAUAAUUAUUUUUCAUAUAAAAACAUCAUAAACUAUAGUAAAAUUGAUUAAUAUAUACUAAUUUAAAAUAUUAAAAAGAGUAUAGACAUUAUGAGACAGUAUCAUUAAGCAGCUACUGGAAUAAGAUGUUAUGAGCCUAAAUUUUAUAAGGUCAAAGUUGAAUUUGGCCGAUCCUUUAACAAAAAAAACUAAACAAGAGUUUAGUAGAGAUCACAUCAAGGGAGAUGGGACUAGUGGCUAGAUCAUAAGACAAGAGUGAUGGUAACCCUACCUAUGUGAUUGGAGAUCCAUGAAAAAUGUUCAAUAAGUUACUUGUUGUUUUGGAAUGCUCUCAAUAUUAUGUAAUCUUAUUUUUAUUCAAUAAAGAUUUUCUUUAUUUAUAAGUCCUCCUUAUAAUAAGAUAAUGUUUAUCGCAGUGAGUUAGGUUAAGCAAUUGAGCUUUUCAUGAACUCCAUAACUCAAUUUUUAUGUAUGAUGGUGUGUUAAAACUGCAUGACAUACUUGAUGGAGGUUCACCUAUGUUAGUGUGGAAUUGGAUAAGUUCCUAUGAGAGUUAAACAUGCUUCUCUAGAGCGCUCAUGAAUACAAGGGCACAGGGCUACUAAAGUGCCAAACCGCAGAACAACAAAAUAUUGAGAGAGUUUAAUGUGAGCUUCUAGUCAUCUGCCUUACAAAAAAAAGAAUAUUGGUUUAUAGAAAUUAUCAGUUUCACCAAGUUCCUAUGACACAUGGUUAGUUAUUCAAUGGCCAGUUCAUAGCCCCAAAGGCACCAGUUCAUAUGCAUUAAACUCUAUGGACAAUGAUGAAGUCGAAAGAAAUUGAGUAUUUUGAAAUAUGUGGAGGAUUGUUAAAGAUUGAGUUGGUAUUUUAAAAUACCAAUAUUCCACAUUACUUAAACAAAAGAGUACAAGUUGGUUUUUAUAUAGAAAACAAAUAUAGUGUAGUAACAAGCCUAUGAAGAGGAGGCUCAUAUGCAUGAAACCAAGCGCGAGAGAGGAGUUCAUUCCAUGACUCUAUUAAUUGGUUGCUCGUACCCAAUAACUCACUCGCAAUGGGGACCCUCCUUCCCCCCAUGGGGUGUCAUGUAUGAGUGUGGGCUUGGCCAUCUAUUAUGUUUUGUCCUUUGUUUUAAUUUUAUUUAUUUUAAUUCGAAUUAGAUUGAGAAUUCAAUUCCUAAUGGAAUUAGGAUUUAAUAAACAUAAUUAUAAUUCAGAUUUAGAGAGGAAAAGGGGGUUAGGGCUUGUAUCUAUUUAAAGAGCCGAAUAUAUCACACUAUGGUCAUCCAAAAACUUACUCUCUUGCUCUCUGUUCUUUGUUGCUCUUUGUUUUCCUUUCUUUCGUCAUUGUACGUUUUGCUAUUCUGAACUAUCAAGUUGAAGUGCAACAUCACAAUCGUAAUAGUAAUUGUAUCAUGGAGAUCAAACUACUUUUGUUAGCCCUUCUUGCACCGAAAUACUGCAUCUUGAGAUCAAGCUUAUUCCAACAUUUUUGUUGUUUCCAUGUUCUUCAAUUUCUCUAAACUUGGUCUCCAUCAGUAUGCCAAGUCAUCAUUUCCAGCUUCCUCUGCUUUCAUUGCCUUCUCUCUGUUUUUAAUUAUUCCCAUCAGUGAAGCUCGUAUUUGCUUGUCAAUUUCCUUCAUUCUCUUAUUUCUUUCUGAAGGUACCAGCCAGCCUAUAAGAAAUAGGAACAAUAGAAAAUACAAGAACGUAUUGAAUGCACUAAUCAAAUCCUACUUAUCGAUUUCAACAAUAUGAUUAACAUCUUAGAUUAACCAUAUGACGACAUGGAUCGAAGUUAUAAGCCCAGGAUGGGUCAAACCUACUUCCAUAUUUUUGGAAGAAAAUCAACUCCUACAUUGCUAAUUACUCCCAGAAGCCGUCCUCAGAAUCACAUCACUAGUUAAUUUUGCAAGAGAAGGCCGUGCACCCAACUCACACGAUCCUCCUUUUGACGUCAGGUUUUCCCACUUUGUAAUUAUUUCACUACAACUUUGCUAGAACGCAGGCAACAUAAGUUGAAACGAAACAGAAAGAAAUUAAAAUGAAGACAUUUAUGUAAACAAAUGAAGAAAUCAAUUAAUAACCUAGAGCUUCUCUUGGUGGAACUGGUUGAUAAGAUUUCUAUAGUAACCCACUUGUCACCUCAUGGCUAACCAAUGCAAGUGCCAAUAAUCUGGCAAGUGGAUCUGAAUUGAUUUUUUGAAAAUCAUUGAUCUUGGUAGAUAUCUCUUUGAUUUGAUCGGGCUUCACAAUAUUCAACCUUCGCGUCGGACCGAACCACAUAAAUGAAUUAUUGCCUGCAUCAAUUUUUAAGCUCUGGUUAUUUUGCUCGUGGCAUAACUUACCACAGCUUGAGUUACACCCAUUGGCCCAUGAUAUCAAGAAAAUUAUUGGUCUCGCAAACAACAUAGCUCAAAUGUUUCAACACCAUACAUAUUUUCUUCAUUAAUUAAAAAAAAUUACGUUUUAACCCAUAAAAAUAUUCAAGAAUUAUCUUGAUGUGUAUGAUCUCUACUAACUACAUUUAUAACGAGAAGUCUAUUUGGAUUUCUUCCACUUAUAUCAGCUCUACAAUUGUGCAAACUGAAUUAGUUUUAUUAAUAAUGGCACAAUCCAGUCGAGAUAUUAUCGUCUAAACUUUCUUUCAAGUCACCAAACAGAAGCCUGCAAGAAUUGCCUUUGAAACCUUUGCUGUCUCAGGAAUUUCUCCAGCUUCUUGGGACCCUCAGCCACACCCAGUUCAGCACUCUCCAUGCCCAGUUCCCACUGUUACGAUAACAAUGGUCAGGUCUAUGGAUUUCAGCGGCAAUUCCAUUUCACACAGAGAGAUUUUUGAAGUGUUCAAAGAAAUGAGACUUGCCUACGUGGUAGAUUAGUUGAAAGUGAAUUAAAAACAUUUUUUCGUUUGCAUAUGUUCAAUGGCUUUUCUUAGUUUCGAAUUUUCCUGUACCAUUAUAUUGUCUCCAGCUAAUGGUACACGUGUCAAUAUCAAUCAUGCAUGUGGUGAUCUUUGUGGACUUGUCACUCAUUGACUGUCUUCUAUAGAACUAGAGAAUGUAAGUUCGGUUAAUUAUUUGAAAAAAAAAAAUUGUUUACCCCUAAUACAUUAAUUAUUCUCAAAAUAUCCUCAAACUAUAAUAAACAUUAAUCAAUCCACAAUUACUAUUAAGAAGGUAAAAAAAGAAAAAAGAAAUCAUCAAUCGUUCCCAUUUGAUCUUAUUUUUUGAAUGAUCAUUAGGGUAAAUUAAGGUUUACAAGAAUUUAGAGAUAACUGAAAUUAACAAAAAAUAAAUAAAAUAAAACUCAUCUAAAUAAAUUAUGCAUGGUGGGCCUAUUUGCCCUUUAAAACAUACUCAAAAUAUACUAUUAUUUAUGUAUACUCAUUUACUUAUUUUAUAAAAAGGGUGGGGCUAUUUGCACUCUUAACAUUACUAGAAUAUUCUUAUUUUAAUAAAUUGUUUUAUUACAAAAAUACUUAUUAUAUGAAUUUCCAAUAUGGAAUCUCUCUUAUAAACUAACAUAAUAAAAUUACUCCAAACACUCACUAUUCAAUAUAUGAUUAUCUUACCAUAAACCCGAAAAAUUUUAAAUCCAAUAUCUUAAACAAUAUUUAGUUAAACAAAGAGCAAAUCAAUACUUUUAAUAUAUUUUGAGCAUAUUUUUACUCUUUGAUUUUCAGAAGACAAAAAAAAAAUUGCUGUCUUCUUCCUCUUCCUCAUCCUUCUUUUAGUCUUCUUUUUCUUCGGCUAUUUCUUCUUCCUCUUUUUUUCCUUUUUUUUCUUUCUUUUUUUUUUUUUUUUGGCUAGAUAGCAAAAAAAUUUUCAAUUGUUUGGUUAAUAAAUUGGGUGCAAAAACUAAUAUUGAAUACAUUCUUUAAUAGACAAAAGCUAAUAAAGAAUAUGUUUAGAAUAUAAUUUGAUUCCUUUGUGUAUAUACUAAGUUGUUAUUAAUUCAUUUUGGAUGCUCAAUAGUUUAAUUGGUGUUUUGAGUAAAUUAGUUUAACUAGUUUAAUUAAGGUCCUUUUUUUUUUAUUUUAAAGAGUGUAGAAAGUAAAAUUUAAUUAUUUUAAAUUCAACACAUUAUUGUACAAAGUAAUAAAGUGUUCAAAGUAAUUUUUGGAGUAUAAAUAACCUAAUCUUUUGAAAAAUGGUGGGACUAUUUGAAUCCACCAUAAUACUCAUUUGACCCAUGUUUUAGAAAACAUUUUUACUACUAAAUUGUCUCUAAUGUAAAUCACUAUUAAAGACAUAAUAGUAUGUAUAUACUUCAUGCUCUCAUCUUUUAAUCAUGUCUAAAUUUGUUCAAUGUGGACAUAAGAGAAAAUUUGUUUCAUACUUUUAAAUUUUUUUAAAAAUUUUCUUCAACUCCUUUGGUCGAAAACAAAUCCAAUCGAGUUGUUGGAUACUUGGAUUUGGUCAAAACUAUCUCACCAGUAAAGCUCAUUGGAAUCCAAUAAACCAAUAAGUUCUAGUCAAGCUAUUCUAGAUUCAAGCAAUAAAAUUUAGGAAAAUUAUCAGUCGUAUACUCUUAAAUGACAUCCGUAUCAAACGUGUGUGAACACUUUUGAAAUGUAUCACUCGUUUACCCUAAGUUGACAAAACACUUCUGCCGUCCGCCAAUCCGUUAACUUCCGUUUGCAAGCGCGAACAUCAUAAGGGCAAUUUAGUCUUUUAAGAUUGACGAAACUUUGAUUUAAAAAAAGGACAUGUCAUCCCAUUUACCUAGUACAAAAUGACAUGUCAUAUGAUAUAUAUUGAUAAAAAUAACAUGUCAUCCCAUUUAUCGGAUAAUUGUAAAUAAUUGCUAAAAAAAACUACUUUACAACCGAAUAUACGCCUUUAAAAUUUAACCUAAUUUUGAAGAUCUACUCCUCCAAGCUCCAACUGGAAAGUUUUAUGGUAUAAUAUGUAUAAUUGUGAAUAAUAUGUUGUUAAUAAUUUUUUAUGGUAUAAUAUGGAUUUUUUUUAUGAAUAAUUGUUAAUAAUAUGUACCAUUAAUAAUUCAUUUUUUUUAAUCAAAAAAAUGUAUUGUUAAUAACAAAAUAAAAAAAAUUGUGUAUUAAAAAUUUACGUUAAUUUUUGGGGUAAAUUUAUCUUUUUACCUUAUAUUUUGAGUUUCAAGGGCAAAAUAGCCAAUUUGUCACAAUUCUGUUAACUUUCUAAUGGAAGUUAACGGAUUGGUGGAUGGCAGAAGUGUUUUGUCAACUUAGGAUAUACGAGUAAUACACUUGAAAAGUGUUCUCAACUUAGGGUAUACGAGUAAUACACUUGAAAAGUGUUCUCAACUUAGGGUAUACGAGUAAUACACUUGAAAAGUGUUCACACACGUUUGAUACGGGUGUCAUUUAAGGGUAUAUGGCUGAUAAUUUCCCUAAAAUUUAUUUCAUUAAAUUUGCACUAUAUAAGAAAGGGAAGAGUUAUGCCAUUGACAAAUAUUGAGCGCUUGAAUUAGUUGUGUAAUCAAUUGAUUAUUCAUUACAACUAUCAUCUUAUUGUCAUUUAAUUUUUUCAUGAUAUUAUAUAUAUUUUAUAGCAGUUUAAUGACAAGCACGGACAAAAAAUAAAUUCCACUUGAGAAGUUGAAGGAUACGACCUUUGGUUAUGAAUGCGUCAAGGGUUGGAGAGCUGGAAGAAGAAGAAGAGAAGAAAAAUGUUGCAGAAAAUCAUGAAUUAAUUUCAAGCAUAUGUUGGUUAUUAACAUGAGUUUAUAAAGUAUAAUAUAAAAUUUUUAACAAUAGAAUUAAUAAGUAGAUGAGUUUACAAAGUAAUUUGGUGGGUUCAAAUAUACUCACUCUUUAAAAUAAUUAGUUUUUACUCUGCACACUCUUUUUUUUUUUUUAUGAGAAAGUAAAGCUUUCAAUUGAUUAAGAAGAAGAGAACAACAUCAACACCUGGACAGGGAAAUCACCUAUCCAGGUGACAGCUUCCUCAAACUCAAGAGCUACAUUAGCUAAGUUAUGGGCAAUUACAUUACACUUUCUUGGGACAAAACGAAUAGCUGCCGAGGCUUGGUUUUUCAACUCUGCUUGUAUUUCUUCAAUGUUCCAACAAAUUUUAGCUCAACUUUCCUUCUUGUUUAAAGUGAGCUCCACAACUUCCUUCAAGUCUGAUUCAACAAUGAAUUGGGCACAAUUUGUUUUCUGACCUACUUGAAUACCGAGCAGCACUGCUUCUGCCUCCAUGUUUGCCACAUUUCCUUUUAAAGCUACUCUCUUAACAGCUGCAGCCACGAUCUCAUAAAAUACUAAAAAAGCUACUCUCUUAAUUCUGCACACUCUUUAAAAUACUAAAAAAGUCCUCAAUAAAACCUUUAAGUAAAUCAAUUAAGAAUUUCAAGUUAAAAUAAAUCUAUACAUGUAAUCACAAUUUAUUAAAAAUGGUAGUAAAACUUUUAUAUUUGAAGUCAAGUACUUAAUUACCAAACUUAAAUAAAUUAAACAAUUAAAAUUUAUUCAUCUUUUUAAAUUUUAAACUAUUAUUAGUCAAAAGUUUCAAAAAUAAAUUAAACUCAACUUAACAUAAAGCUAUUUGGGUGUCAUUGUUUCUUUGUCAUACACUCUACCUUUUUUUUUAAGAACCUACUGUUGAUAGUUUUUCUAUCAAAAACUCCUCAAAAUAUUUAAAUUUUAUCUUCUAACUUGUCCUCUUGGUUAAUGUAACUAAUAACUAAAAUCUCAAAAUUCACAUAAAAGUUUAUGAAAUGUUGAUAGAUAGUUGUUACUAUAUAUCUUUUUUUGUAAGUAUUGGCAUUUUUUCAAUUAAAUUAUUUUUAUAAAUAAAUUAAAACAGUAAUAAUAUUUUAGUCCCCAAAUCUUUUCAAUCUAUUCAAUAAAUAUAUAAUUUAAUUAUUUCAUGAAAUAAGUCACUAAUUCCAACUGGGAAGAAAAUAUAAUUGAAUUAGGAACAUGUUUGAAAAUAAAAUAAAAACUCUAUUAUUUUAUAAAACUGAUUUAAAAAAAACAUAAGGGUAGUUAAAUUAGGGACAUAUAUAAAAAAAAUAAAACUAUAUUAUUAUCUAAAAUUAAUAAAAAAAAUAAGGGGUAUAAAUAACUUUCCUGGACUAAUCCGGGCUACACCCCCGCUUAGGUCCGCUUGCGCACUCAUUACUCCAAAUACAACGUUUAAAAUUUAAAAUCAAAUUUUUACUAUGUAAAAGGGAUAUUAUCAUUUUUCCACCAAAGGUAUUCUGACACAUCAUGUCAGUACCAUGGUUUGAUAAAACUAUCAUUUUACCACCAAACGUUUAAACUGUUAGCAUUUUCCCACCAUUUCGUUAAAACUCAGUUAAUAUUUAACGAAAAAUUAUUAAAAGGUCAAUUUUACCCCUAGAGCGUAAAAGACGAUUUUGCCCUUUAAGAAUGAACAACAAUAAGUGAUGAUUAAAUUACAAAAAUAACCCCAAAAGUAGCUGUUACAUUCAAAUAACGGCUACUUUUAUGCUUAUAAGAGCUGCUGCUGGUUGCCAUUUCAACCCGCAACCAGCAACCCCAAAUCAAAGGCCAGCAAGUAGGGGUGGGCAAAAUCGGGUUCGGAUCAACCCGAUCAGAUUUCGGGUUGAUCGGGUUGGAGAGAAACUCAUCCGAACUCAACCCGAAUUUUAGAUCAGAUCGGAUCGGAUCGGGUUAUAUUCGGGUCGGAUCUAAAAUUCGGAUCAAUUUCGGGUCAAUUCGGGUUAAGGACAAAAAAAGUCAUUUGUGUUAAUUUUGGGUUGUUUAAUAAUUAUUUAAUAAUUACAAGAUCACUUUUAUGCAAUUAGUUCAUUUUAGUCCAUUUCCACUUUCCAAUGACUGUCAUAAAAAAAAUAUAAACUGAAAUAGAAUUGAAAAAGUUGUGAGCUUGGAGGACUUGGUGUCAUGAAUCUCAGUCUCGGUCUCGUUGGAAGAACAACCAUGGAUCACUUCGCGCGGGUCAAGCAGCAGCCGAUGGAUCAAGCGGCAACGGGUUUCGUCGAUGGCUCAUGGCUUCACAGGUUUUGUCGGUGGCUACCGGAAAAGCAGAUCCAAUCGAAGUGAAGUGCAGCAACCGUCGAUGCAGCAGCAAGCAGAUCCUGUCGUCAGUGCAGCAGAUCUGGUCGAGUGGUGUGCUGCAUAUGGCCGUUGCUGUGCUAACCGUCUGUAGUUUUGUUGUUGCGAGAAAGAAGAGAAAGAAGACAGUGAAGAGAAAAAAGAGAGUUGUUUGUGUGAGUUGUGAGAAAGAAGAGAAAGAAGAUAGUGAAGAGAAAGAACACGGAGAGUGAGAAAGAAGAGAAAGAAGAGAGUGAAGAGAAAGAACACAGAGAGUGUUGGUGUGAGUCUGUGAGCCAUAGUGUUCGUAUAUGUUCUGUUUAGCCAUUUAGGUUGUUUGUGUGUGGCGUGUGUGUUUAGAUUUAGGUUUUUUUUUUUAAAGCAACCCGAUCGGGUUUUCGGAUCGGAUCGGAUUUGACCUGAUCCGAUCACAACCCGAUCGGAUUUCCUUUAUAACCCGAUCCGAUCCGAUCCGAACCCGAAAUUUUUCGGGUCGGGUCGGGUAUUUUGCCCACCCCUACCAGCAACCCCAUUUGAGCACCAACAACCCAGCUGAAAAAGAAAGAAAAUGGCAACCCAGCACAACUACAAGCCACAGUAAACAUUUCAAUACCACUGCACCAGCAAGCCCAAGCCAUUUUUAAACACCAGUAAGCUCAUUUUAUUACUAGCAAUCAUGCCAGGUUUGUACAUGCAGGUUUAAAAAGUGUAAUUUUUGGCAAUGGGCAGCAAAAAAAGAUAUGGAAAUGCGUAACAUUACAUCCAAUCAUGGCAUGAACCUAAAUGAAGAUGUGAUGAAGAUAAGUGAACUACUACGAUGCAUUGAAGCGAAACUGAAAUUGGUCGUAGUUUUUAUUUGUGGCAUUGUGAUAGGCUUAUUUAUGAGGAAGUAAUGUAAUAAACAUGAAAAAAUAUUGUAGCAAUCAAUCAUUGUAGCUGAAGAUGUAAUGAAGCAUUAUAGUUUAAGAUGUAAUGCAACUGGAAAGUAAUCAAAACAGUUUGUGGAUUCCAAAAACAUAACAGCAACUUAAUGCACUAAUAUAAAGUUUGUGCAUCCAAAAUACAUAACAACAACUUAAUGCAUUAAUAUAAAGUUUGUGCAUCUAAAAUACAUAACAGUAACUUAAUGCACUAAUAUAAAGUUUUGUGCAUCUAAAAUACAUAACAGCACCUUAAUGGUUAUUUCAUACAGCAUCUAAUAUCUGUGAAGCUUGUGAGCCUUGAGUUGGAUUCGGGGAAACAUUAUCAGCUUCAUAUUGGCCAGGACAAAAAAAUUAUUACCUCAUUAUCUAAGACCAACAGUAGCUAUUUGCAGACAUCAAACAUUAAUUUGAAACAAUAACUUACCAUUGUUACGUCUUCUUACUCCAUCGCCUCUUGCUCUUGCUCUGUUACUCCUUUGGCCCCUUCGGCCUCUAUUCCUUCCUCUUCCUCUAUUACCAGUACCUCAUCUUCCUCUAUGAGCAAUAAAGCUCUCUUGUGAACCACCUACAGCCUAUUUAAAUUGAAAUAUAUAAAUAAUCAAAUCAUCAAUAUUUAUAACAAACUAAAAAUUACUCAAUGAAUAACAAUAAACAAAUUACCACUUUCUUUGUCCUCUUUGAAGUACUUGCUGCAUUAGAACUUUCUCCCGGCCCACUAACUCCCUAUUUAAAAUUACAUAGAUAACAAACAAUAAAAAAUUAAUUUCAAUACACAUAAAAACAAUUAAAACAUUAGGUUAAGUGGCUGUUACCUGCUGAGCUCUUAAUUAUCUUGCUAUCGAUGGCCUUAAUGCACAUUUCCUGACAUUGUGGUUCAUCCCACCACAAAAUGAGCAGCAGAUAUAAAAUGAUUUUUUUUUUUUUAUUGGCUCAGUGGCUGCCCUUUUCCUUGACAUUUUUGGUCUACCAAUCUUCUUGGUAAUCUCAGGUGGAAAGAGCUUGGGCCUAUCACAAGGGUCCCAUGUAACUUUGUUAGGAAUUGGCUUGAACAUCACUGCAUAUGUGUUCAAGUACGCCUCUUUGCCGAAGUAUUUUGGUAGAUACUCUGUUGCUGUGUGUCUAGCAUGACUAAUUGCAGCCAUAACAUGAGUACAGGGGAUUCCAGCUAGGUCCCAAUAACCACAAUCACAAGACCUGCUCAUGAGAUCGACAAUGAACCUCCUUGUUGGAUAAUAACCCUUGUGUUUAACCUAACAAAAAUUACAUAAUGAUUAAAUAAUAAUUAUAAGGUUGAGGAAAAAAAAUUGAUUAACCUAACAAACAUUCAGGUUCAGGAAAAAAUUAAUUAUAAGGAACAUGAGUUAGAAUUAUACUUGAAAGUGAAGAUCCCCAGAAGCCAUUACAUUCAUCUUGCUUCCACAUUCAUAUGCAACAUCCAAUUCUUUUUUCACUCUAGGUGGAAUGUUGGUCUAAGAUUGUGCUUCUUUUUUCCUUUUUGUGAAGAGUGUCAUGAACAUGCAUCUAAUUUCUUCAAGCAUGUUCAAGCAAGGCUUCUCUCUGUGGGGUAAUAUCCAACUAUUAAAACACUCUGAAGUGUUGUUAGUUGUACGAUCUACCUUGCAAUUCUUGUCAUACUCAUGUCUUGACCAAGUAAACCCAGCAAGCUCAGUCUCCAGCCACUGCCAUGCCUCUAACUUCUCUUUUUUGAGGUUUUCCAUUGCAAUAGCGUAAUCAUACUUGUUAGUGCUACUGACAGCCCUCCAAAACAGAUUUCUCAAACUAACACCAGGAUGUUCUUUGUAGAAGUUAGUAUAUAUAUGCCUAGCACAUGGUCUAUGAUAUGCAGUAGGCCAAGUUAUCUCAAUGGCCCCCAACAAACCCUUUUGCCUAUCUUAGCAAAAUGUAAUAUGCUCUAAGCCAUUAUCAAAAUACGAAUGCAGAAUUUCUAAAAACCACGACCAGGUUUCAGUAUUCUCUAUCUCACACACUGCUAAUGCUAAUGGGACCAUUCCAUUAUUAGCAUCCAUACCUGUUGAGUGUUAGAAAAUGCAUAUUUAUAAAGGAGAAAACCGUCAUUUUACAUUUCAAGUCUUAUUAACAACCCUUACUUUUAUGUAUUUAACCUUCUUGUGAUUUAAUUACAUGUCUUUUAUUUUAAUUAAGUAUUUUAUGUAUUUUAGGGGCAUUAUAGUCAUUUCACAAUAAAGGAGAGAUCAGAUGGCAAAACGGACAUCACUUUUGAACUCAGGACGGUCGAAAACCUUAGGAGGAGCAUAAAAGGAAAAAUGACACUAUUCACAUGUACGGUACUAUUCACGUAUACGGUACUGUCUACGUUACUGUUCACGAAACUGUUCACAUAGACGGAUCGAUGACGUGGCAUUGACCGAUGAUGUGGCAUUGACUGAUGAGGUGUCACGAUCCUGUUGGACUAAACUUCUUAUGUACUGUUGAUGGUGACGUGGCAGCAUAUCAGUGGAUGAAAAAUCUCGCGUACGGUGCAUGCAUCACACAGGAUUAUUUUCAACCAAACCGCGUUACUGUUCAUCCGGGUCAAACCGUGUUACUGUUCAUCCGCGUGGUCAAACCGUGGACUGUUGACUGAUGACGUGGCGCAAUCCUGAGCGUCCAAACUAUUUUUAAUCCGAUGGCCAUGAUUUACUCCAUGUAUCUAUAAAAAGGGGGCCUCCCCCCCCUAAUUUGAUAUCUCUGAAUCCAUUUUUGGGAUCCAUUUUCUGUAAUUCCCUCUCCAUCUUGUAUUUUCUUUGUAUUUUAAUAAAUUCCCAUUUUGCCCCUAGUUCAAUUAUGAGUGGCUAAUUUUCUUUCAAGCUUGGGUUGAAGGUGAAGUCUCAACAUGUGUCAUGGGCUUUAUUUGGUAAAUUUAUUUUCUUUUCCCCUCUAGUUUUUGUGGAUGAUUUGACUUAUCGUCGACAAAUAAUACUGAUCUUGUCUAGAUACCGCCUUGGUUACACCGGCUCUCUAGUAUAAGGUUAUUAUUAUUUGGCACGAUAAGCCCUUAGCACCAUAUUGAUUAGAGCGUGGUUCAUGAGGUGUGGAUCCCCCCCUCAUGAUUUAAUUGGCAUUAAUACGGAUUAUUUAGCCCAUGAUGCAUGUUGAUACGGAUCCAGAUACCCAAGUACGUCAUUUCAAUAGAUUUCGCUUCAACUUAUUCUCGCCAUUGCAAUUCCAAUUUUAGAAUUUAUUAUCGCAAUUUCAAUUCCAAUUUUAGGAUAAUUUAAAUCACUUCCACCACAAUUCCAACCACCCAUUUUGCAAAAUUAAUUCUAUACACAAUUAAAAUCCUCCUCCUCGUGGGAUCGACACUCGUCACCAUUGAUCUACACUACAAUAGAUUCAUGCGCUUGCGAGUACAUUAAAAUUUGCACAACAAGUUUUUGGCGCCGUUGCCCGGGGAGGUAAGUAAUUUUAAUUCAUAGAAUUAAUUUUUGUGAAUAAUUUCUUUUAAAUUGUUUUCUUGUAUUUUUUUUAUUAAAAAAAAAAAGGUGAAUCUGCAUUUAAAGGUUAGUAUUUCUUUUCUUUUUCUCUUCUUUAAAAUUCUGUAAUUUAAUUUUCAAUUUAUUUUUUUCUUUGUAAUUUUUAUUUAUUUUAUUAAUUUAAUUUUUAGUUAAUUUAUUUCACGUAUUUGUUUUUGUGUAUUUUUAUAAAAAGGUUGUAAUAGCGCAAUAAGGUUAGUAUCGUAAUUUCUCCCUCUUCUUUAUUUUUAUUUGUUUUGUUCCCAUCUUUAUUUUUAUUUUAUUUGUUUUGCAUGCAUGGUCGUAGGUCAUUAUUACCUAAUCUUGAACCUAUAGACCUUGAAUUAGAAAAAACACUUCGCACACAAAAGCACAUUAAAAAUAAAUUUGGAAUGGAUUUACAAGCACCACAGGAGAGGCCAUUUAAGGACUAUUUUAGUCCCUUAGCUAAUUUGAGCACAUCAUGCAUAAGAUACCCAAAUGUAGCUGCUAGGAGUUUUGAAUUAAAACCUAGUGUGCUAAAUUGUCUCCCCACAUUCUAUGGCUUAGAAAAUGAGGACCCAUAUAAUCAUCUGAAUGAUUUUCAUACCAUUUGUCAAACUUUUAAAUAUGAAAAUUUUUCAGACGAUGAUGUUAAACUCAGAUUAUUCCCAUUUUCUUUAAAGGAUAGAGCUCGUUCAUGGCUUAAUACAUUGCCUGCUAAUAGCAUUGCAUCAUGGGAACAAAUGGUUACAAAAUUUCUAAAUAAAUAUUUCUCAGUGCAUAAAACUAAUUCUAUUCGCAGGGAAAUUUCAGAGUUUACACAAAGAGAGGACGAGCAGUUUUUCGAAACUUGGGAGCGAUUCAAUGGGCUACUCUUGAAGUGUCCACAUCAUGGGUACGAAAAAUGGCAUCAAUGCCAAUACUUUUUGGAGGGAUUAUUGCCGAAUGUGCAAGAAUGGCUAAUGGCAACAAGUAGAGGAGAGCUAAUGUCAAAAAGCGCAACAGAGAUUUGGGAAUUCUUCCAGCGACAAGCGGAUAAUUCCCAACAACGGAGUCGAUCAUUCAGGAAUACUAGAAAAAUUAAAGGAGUAAAUGAGGUUCACAUUGGCGAGUCAACUUCGGAAAUCAAAGAAGUCAAGGAGAUGGUUGAAGGUCUUGCUCGACAAAUAGCAUCGUUAUCGACUGCUAAAUCAACAGAAUCACAUGACCAUGACUCAUAUUCAGAUCAAGCCAAUGCCAUAGGUGUAAUGAGAAAACCAUCGAAUUACAACCCAUACUCCAACACAUAUAAUCCUGGAUGGAGAGAUCACCCCAAUUUUUCAUGGUCUCAAGGAUUCCAACAGAAUGGACCAACAGCUCCAGCUCCACUACUGCAACCAAUUCCUCAAAAUCCUCAAGCCUCUCAGCCACCAUUCAGACCAUACAAUCAGAACCAGAACUACUCUCAACCCAGACCAUGGGAGGAUGCAUUCCAGAAUUUCAAGAAUGUUACUCAUUCUACCAUUGAGCAACAGAACCGCACCAUUGAUGGACUACGAAAUGAAUUGAGAGCGGGCUUUAACUCACAAGCCCAAUCAGUUUCAAGCCUCGAGAAGAUGGUGGGACAACUCGCUUCUUCAGUUCAGACAUUGGCAAUGACUAUUGAGAAAGGCAAGUUUCCAAGUCAACCAGUGCCUAAUCCUAAAGGAGUACAUGAAGCAAGUACCAGUUCACCACAGCAGCAUGGGGAGGUCAAAGCAGUCAUGACCUUGCGAAAAGGAAAAGAAGUCGACAACAAAGUGGAGAUGCCGGUGACCAAAGAAAAUCAAAUUGUACCUGUGAAUGUUGAAGACUCACCACCGGAGGAAAAAGAAGAAACCAACCCACGAGAAUAUGUUCCUAAAGCUCCAUUUCCUCAGAGGUUAGCGAAAGGAAAGAAGGGAAAAUCCACAGGUGAGAUUCUCGAAAUCUUCAAACAGGUAAGUGUUAACAUCCCUUUACUUGAUGCUAUUAAACAAGUUCCAUCUUAUGCCAAGUUUCUUAAAGACCUUUGUACUAAAAAGAGAAACAUGCAUGUUCAAAAGAAGGCAUUUUUAACAGAAAACGUUAGUUCUAUACUCCAACAUAAAAUUCCUUUAAAAUGCAAAGACCCAGGCUCCCCCACUAUCUCAUGUAGUAUAGGGAACCACACAAUUGAGAAUGCUUUGUUGGAUUUAGGAGCUAGUGUAAAUUUGUUGCCUUAUUCAGUAUUUGUGAAACUUGGACUGGGAGAAUUACACCCAACUCCAGUGGUGUUACAGCUUGCAGAUCGGUCCACGAAAAUACCUCGUGGUAUUGUGGAGGACGUGCUUAUCCAGGUAGACAAGUUUUAUUUUCCUGUUGAUUUCAUUGUAAUUGACACUCAACCAAUACAGGACUCAAGGAAGCACAUCCCCAUUAUUCUAGGCCUACCUUUCUUGGCAACUGCGGAUGCUCACAUUCAAUGCAGGACUGGAAAUAUGCAGUUGUCCUUUGGCAACAUGACUAUGGAGCUAAACAUUUUCAACAUUGCCAAACAACCUCAUAGUCCAGAUGAUGGAAUUGUUGAUGUGGAUUUAAUAGAAACAAUAGUCGAUAAUACUUUUAUUUCAAACCUUAGUGAUGACCCUUUACAGACAUGCUUAACUCACUUUGGUUUGAAUUUUGAUAUUGACAGAUCGGUCGAUGAGGUCAACACUCUACUUGACUCAGCACCAUCCAUGGACACUAAUAAAUGGAAGUCAAGAGUUGAACAACUAGCACCAUCAGAGAAGAAAAUCAUCCCAUCAUCAGAAUCACCACCGAAACUCGAGCUCAAACCAUUACCCAACACAUUGGAAUAUGCGUUUUUGGGAGAAGAAAGCACUCUACCGGUAAUCAUCUCAUCAUCCCUAAACGACGAACAAAAAGGUAAGUUAUUGGAUGUUUUAAAAGAGCACAAAGGAGCAUUAGGAUGGACCAUAGCAGAUAUUAAAGGUAUAAACCCAGUAGACUGCAUGCAUUACAUUCACCUUGAUGAAAAUGCUAAAACUACUAGGGAAAUGCAACGUCGGUUAAAUCCUAAUAUGAAAGAAGUUGUUAGAACAGAAGUCCUUAAGCUAUUAGAUGCAGGUAUCAUUUACCCAAUUUCUGAUAGUUCAUGGGUCAGUCCUGUACAAGUUGUCCCCAAAAAGUCAGGAGUCACAGUAGUUACCAAUGCUGAUAAUGAAUUGAUACCAACUAGAGUAACUACAGGAUGGCGUGUAUGCAUUGAUUAUAGAAAAUUGAAUUAUGUCACACGUAAAGACCAUUUUCCUUUACCAUUUAUUGAUCAAAUGCUUGAUAGAUUAGCAGGCCAUGAAUUUUAUUGCUUUCUGGAUGGUUAUUCAGGAUAUAAUCAGAUUCCCAUAGCACCAAAAGAUCAGGAGAAAACUACUUUCACUUGCCCUUUUGGCACUUUUGCAUAUAGGAGAAUGCCAUUUGGAUUAUGUAAUGCACCUGCUACAUUCCAACGAUGCAUGUUGAGCAUUUUUUCUGAUAUGGUUGAACGAUUCCUUGAAGUCUUUAUGGAUGAUUUUUCUGUCUUUGGUGACUCGUUUGAUCAAUGUUUACAUCAUCUAACGCUAGUUCUGCAGAGAUGUAUCGAGAAGAACUUAGUCUUAAAAUGGGAGAAGUGUCAUUUUAUGGUAAAACAAGGUAUUGUUCUCAGUCACAUCAUUUCAAGCAAAGGUAUUGAGGUUGACAAAGCCAAGGUGGAUCUCAUUUCUAAUCUUCCUCCACCUAAAACAGUCAGAGAAGUAAGAUCUUUCCUUGGGCAUGCUGGUUUCUAUAGACGUUUCAUUAAAGAUUUUAGCAAAGUUUCUAGACCCUUAUGCAAUUUACUUGCUAAGGAUGUACCUUUUAUCUUUAAUGAUUCAUGUCUUAUGGCUUUUGAAAAAUUAAAGCGAUUGUUGACAUCAUCACCCAUCAUUCAGGCCCCAAACUGGAGUUUACCAUUUAAGCUCAUGUGUGAUGCAUCUGAUUAUGCAGUAGGAGCAGUAUUAGGACAAAGAGUUGAUCGAAUUCCCCAUGUUAUUUACUAUGCUAGUAUGACAUUGAAUAAUGCACAGUUGAACUAUUCAACUACUGAAAAAGAAAUGCUAGCAGUAGUGUUUGCAUUAGAGAAAUUUCGAUCUUAUCUCAUUGGUUGUAAAAUAAUUAUAUUCACAGAUCAUGCUGCUCUUAAAUAUCUUCUCAUAAAGAAAGAUGCAAAAGCUAGACUAAUUCGUUGGGUGUUACUUUUGCAGGAAUUCGACUUGGAAUUCAAGGAUAAGAAAGGCACAGAGAAUGUUGUAGCGGACCACCUCUCUCGUCUCCAUUUUGACACAAUUACAGAAUCAUUACCAUUGAAUUAGUCAUUUCCAGAUGAACAAUUAAUGAAUGUGGAAGUAUUACCUUGGUAUGCUGAUAUAGUUAAUUAUCUUGUUACAGGUAAACUUCCAGAGCAUUGGACCAAGCAAGACAAGGCUAAAUUCUUUGCGGAAAUAAAGAAUUUCUUUUGGGAUGACCCGUAUUUGUUCAAGUAUUGUGCAGACCAAAUUGUUAGACGAUGUGUCCCUGAAAAUGAAAUUCAGAAUAUUCUUUCAUUCUGCCAUGCACAAGCUUGUGGAGGCCAUUUCAGUGCUAAGAAAACAGCGACUAAAGUUUUACAAUGUGGUUUCUAUUGGCCAACUAUAUUUCGAGAUGCUUACACUUUCUGUUCUUCAUGUGAUAGGUGUCAACGAAUGGGGAGCAUUACACGAAGGAACAUGAUGCCACUAAAUCCAAUUUUAGUGGUUGAGAUUUUUGACGUAUGGGGUAUCGACUUCAUGGGACCCUUUCCUCCGUCUUUUGGUCAUCAAUACAUAUUGGUUGCUGUUGACUACGUAUCGAAAUGGGUGGAAGCAAUUCCAUGCAGAACCAAUGAUCACAAAGUGGUGAUAGGAUUUUUGAAAAGCAACAUUGUUUCACGCUUUGGAUUCCCUCGAGCGAUAAUCAGUGAUGGUGGUGCCCACUUUUGUAACAAAGCAUUCAAAGCUCUUUUGACAAAGUAUUCAAUCACCCACAAAGUGGCGACUCCGUAUCAUCCGCAAACCAGUGGCCAAGUUGAGAUCUCCAAUCGAGAAAUAAAGCACAUAUUAGAAAAGACGGUGAGGCCAGACAGGAAAGAUUGGUCAUUACGACUUGAUGAUGCAUUAUGGGCAUAUAGAACGGCUUUCAAGACCCCGAUUGGGAUGUCACCCUACAGGCUAGUGUAUGGAAAAGCUUGCCACCUACCUGUGGAACUCGAGCAUCGUGCAUAUUGGGCCAUCAAGAAAUUCAACUUUGACAUGCAGCAAGUCAGCUCAGAAAGAAGAUUACAGCUGGCAGAACUUGAAGAAAUUCGCAAUGAUGCAUACGAAAAUGCCAAGAUUUACAAGCAACGAAUGAAAGUCUUCCAUGAUAAGCAAAUUAUGAGAAAAUCGUUCACUCCAGGUCAGAAAGUGUUUUUAUUCAAUUCUCGCUUGCACCUAUUCCCAGGUAAGUUACGCUCUCGAUGGUCUGGUCCCUUUAUUGUUCAUACUGUUUUUCCACAUGGGGCAAUUGAAAUUAAAGACCCAAAGAACGGUGUCACGUUUAAAGUUAAUGGUCAAAGAUUAAAGCCAUAUCUAGAGUACCAACCACAUGAAGAAGACACCGAAAUAAAUUUGAGUGACCCACCAGAUUUGAAUUAAUUUUUUUUCUCUUUUUAUUGAUUUGAUUUUUCUUUCUUUCUUUUUAUUAUUCUUUUGCUAAUUGAAAUUGUUUUUGCAUAAGUGUGUUUAUUUUACCAUUAAGUUUUCUCUUAUCAUUUUUAAUCAUGAGUCUCCUACUUAGACCGUUCCUCCUGAACAUUCUUAAACCACUUCAACGUGUCAAAACUCAUCUCAAAAGGCAGAUUCUAUUUUGUAAAACACAACGCAUUUGGGCUCUACAACCACCAGAGUUAGUAGCCUAUGUUGAGGGUUUAGAACGCCAACUCAGAGAUAUUGAGAGAAGUGUUUACGACAUCCAGUUGGAGCUUGAGGUAAAUUCAAUAAGAGGACGAUUUUAAUUUUCUUUGUGUGUUUUGAUUUGUUUUUCUGUUUGUGUGCUUUAGUUUGUUACCCCGGUGAAGUGGCGGAUAACGGUACUCCGUGACAAUCAAGUCGGUUAACUUCAGUUUCCCAUAAUAACUGAUAUUCUGAGGCGAAGGUAUGGAUACAAACGAGAUUUUAGCAAAGCUUCACAAGCGAUUCCCUUCACUUCCUCAGAAUGCCCUCCUUACGAUCUAUAAAGCCCGGUCUGAACGCAUGCGAUUGCUCAUGAGGAAUAACAUACCUGCAGACAUCCGUUGGUUAAUCGAGGCUAAAGUACGAUCGGCAGGUGAGUUACCUCCAAAAUUUAUUGCAUUCAUGCCUGGUUGUGGUAAAGGAAAUUAUGCAAGAAAACGACGAGCUCGAAGAAUUUCUGUUGCUUGUCAUAAGUGUGCCAGAAUGAGUUGCGAUAAAAACCCAUGUUCUUUAGGAAUGGUGUCUGAUAACAGGGAAGAUAAGAUUCAAUUCAUUAGGGAUGGCUUGAAUAAGGAGUCAUUGGAUGAUAUCCUUUUGUCUCUUGAAACGCAUCCUAGUGGAUAUGUGCAAGGAGCGAUUCUCCAGUUAUGGCCAUUAUUCCAGAAAGAGCAUGCACGAUAUAGUCUCGGGAAUCUGACUAUAAACGACCCUGUUUGCCAGUUUAUAAGAAAACUGGAUAGGAAGCCUAUCCUCGACCCAUAGAGGGCGUUCAAGCCGUUUCUGGACGUAAAACCAGAGGAAGAUGUGAGCCACAGUCGCAACUACCUGUAAAUAUCCUUUUACUUUACUGUUGUUUUAUUUUACUGUUGUUUUAUCGUUUGUAUUAUUAUCUUUAAUAAUUUUAUUACUGUUUGCUUUUUCCUUUUUACUGUUUCCUUUUUGACUCGCGAGCCACGUGCUUUACGCGUUAUUUGACACUGACAUGUUACCUCAUUCACAGCUGUGAUCCACUGUCACCAAGAUUCUUAAAUGUGAUUUAUCUUUUGUCAAGCACUCACAAAUUAUUUUUGAGAAGUAUCACAAUGGCAGCUACUCCCAAUAGACAAUUCAAGAACAUUUGUGUGCUUUCUGGAUUUACCUAUGGCAAACAUAAAGAGUUCGUGGAGGCAGCCAUAGAUCUUGGUCGAAGCAUAGCAGCGAGAAAAUUACAUUUGGUGUAUGGAGGAGGUAACCGAGGGUUAUCAAAAAUGGUCUCAGAAGCAGCUUUUAUCAGAGGAAGUCAAGUGUUAGGCAUCAUCCCAAGAGUCCUAAAACCAUUGGGCAGUUCAUCUAACUCAUCAACUGGAGAAGAGUUAGUCGUCUCAGGUAUGCAAGAAAGAAUAACUGAAAUGCUUAAUCAUGUUGAUGCUUUUAUUUUCCUUCUAGGAGAUCUUGCAACACUAGAGGCACUUAUGACACUAGCAUCUUGGGCCCAUCUGCACAUCCACCAGAAACCCAUCGGUUUGUUAAAUGUCAAUAACUUUUAUGAUGGCUUUAUCGCAUUUCUUAACCAUGCAAUAAAAAACUAUUUCAUUCCUUCUAAUGUGAAAAAACUCUUUAUUUGUGCUCACACUGCUAAUGAGCUACUUGAUAUGUUACAAGCUUAUAAACCGGAGCCAGACCCCUGGACCUUUGUGUUGGAGCGACCAAAUAAUGAUGGUAACAGUAGCCGCAGUAAGAAGUACAAAUUAGAUUUAACUCUCCGCCUGUAAAUAUUUUCUUCUGUGUUGCACCACCCAGGUGAUGUCUUCUAAACUCUACUUCUUUCCUUUAAAACAUUGAGGACAAUGUUUCGUUCUGGUUGGGGGGAGGGAAUAGUCGACAAUUGUGGAAUCUUGGUUAAGUUUUUACUAAUUUUUUGUUGUAGAAACUAACUGUUGCUAACGUUUUGUGUUGAAGAUGGCUGAAUAUGGAGUGUAGUUACUCUAGAAACGCAUCUUCAUCGUUUUAAAAAAAAAAAAAAAAACUCGUUUGCUUCCUCUUUCUCCUUUAUAAAUAUGUAGUUUCAAAUUUUUGAGUCGAAGAUGGCUGAAUAUGGAGUGUAGUGCCUCUAGAAACGCAUCUUCUUAGUUAAAAAAAAAAAAAUCUUUUUCUAAUUAAUUUUUCUACAUCAUUUUCACAUUUCUGCAUGCAUAUUUUCCUUUCAUGUUUAGAAUAGGUUGGGGGGUAGAAUGUUGUUUAAAAAAAAAAAAAAUUUGUGUUAUUUGUUUUAACAUUGGAUGACAUGAUUAAUUUCAAAUUUUAGUAUUUGUAUUAUCUUUGGUCUUAAGUGAUGUUACGCUAUGUUUGCUACUUUACAUGUUGAUGUCGGAGACAAAUAUGAGUUGCUUGAAGGAAUGAACAUGUCAUAAAUAAGUGCCAAGUGAGUUGUUGAGCCUAUCAUUUUCUUGGAGAGUAACCCUUUUGCCCAUUCUCUAUACAGCUUAGCAGUUUAUUAUUUUAUACACGAUCUCUAGAUUUCUUUUGAGUUAACCCUUUAAAAAAAAUGGUAAAAAUAAAAAAAAUAAAAAAUGUGUGUUGCUAUAUUGGGAUGCCCAUUUAACUAGUAGAUAUGGAUAAUUAUUUAGAGCCCUAAAAAACGAUGGAAAGGCCAUCUUUGAUCCGUUUGAGCCUUUCUAGCCAUCCCUGUUAUUAAAUAUCCAUAGUUACCCCUUUUGAGCCUUUAAAAAAAAAAAAAAAUCUUUUCUUUGUCAACUUAUCAUCUUGACCCACUCCGAUUUGGAGUAUUACUCAAUGUCUUUUAAGUUCCAUCACCUAUUUAUGUUUGAGAAAAUGUAAAUAAUUAUGUUGUUCAGUGAAGUUAUGCCAAAAAAAUAAAAAAUAAAAACAAAAAAUAAAAACAAAAACAAAAGUUGUUGUUUCAAAAGAAUAAAAAUAACAAUAAUAGGUGAAAUCCACCUUGCAAGUUCCAAAAAAAAAAAAAAAAAUCUGCAUUUUUCUCAAACAUACACUUUGUUUUCCUUAUUUCCCUUCUUUGUUAGCCAUAUCCCUAGCCUACGUUACGUCCUAAUAAAAGUCCUUCUUGAUUUUAGGAAACUAUAGUUUGAAGUAGAAGCUAGUUAUAUGGGCUAAAAAGAUGUAGUGAUGCAUAAUAAAAAAAAAAGAUAAAUAAAGUGGGUUGACUAACAUUUUAUUUGACUUGAGAUCGUAUUAUUUCUAAGCUGAGGGCAUAUUUAUUUCAUCUUGGUGAGAGCAUGUGAUAUCAUUUCUUUAUUAUUUUCUCUCUCAAUUACCAUUCAUUGGAGUGACUAUGUUUAUUGGGUUUUAAUUUCUUUGUGAGAGUGUCACUACUUCCAGUGAGAUUUUGGGGUUUGACAUGUCAUUCUUGAAAGUAGCUAUAACAAAGUCUACUGGGCUAAUUCAUGUGGAUGGUUGAUGUGGGUGUGAUGUUGCUUUAGACUGAAGAUAAUGCUUAUACUUUUAUUUGAUUGCUAUCAUUAAUCUGAUUGAAUAAACACGAGUGUUCCCAUAAAAAAAAAAAAAAAAUCAUUUUGAAUUUGAAUUUUGUUUUCGCUUUAUUUGCUAGGGACUAGCAAUAAGCUGGUUGGGGGGUGUGUUGAGUGUUAGAAAAUGCAUAUUUAUAAAGGAGAAAACCGUCAUUUUACAUUUCAAGUCUUAUUAACAACCCUUACUUUUAUGUAUUUAACCUUCUUGUGAUUUAAUUACAUGUCUUUUAUUUUAAUUAAGUAUUUUAUGUAUUUUAGGGGCAUUAUAGUCAUUUCACAAUAAAGGAGAGAUCAGAUGGCAAAACGGACAUCACUUUUGAACUCAGGACGGUCGAAAACCUUAGGAGGAGCAUAAAAGGAAAAAUGGCACUAUUCACAUGUACGGUACUAUUCACGUAUACGGUACUGUCUACGUUACUGUUCACGAAACUGUUCACAUAGACGGAUCGAUGACGUGGCAUUGACCGAUGAUGUGGCAUUAACUGAUGAGGUGUCACGAUCCUGUUGGACUAAACUUCUUAUGUACUGUUGAUGGUGACGUGGCAGCAUAUCAGUGGAUGAAAAAUCUCGCGUACGGUGCAUGCAUCACACAGGAUUAUUUUCAACCAAACCGCGUUACUGUUCAUCCGGGUCAAACCGUGUUACUGUUCAUCCGCGUGGUCAAACCGUGGACUGUUGACUGAUGACGUGGCGCAAUCCUGAGCGUCCAAACUAUUUUUAAUCCGAUGGCCAUGAUUUACUCCAUGUAUCUAUAAAAAGGGGGCCUCCCCCCCCCUAAUUUGAUAUCUCUGAAUCCAUUUUUGGGAUCCAUUUUCUGUAAUUCCCUCUCCAUCUUGUAUUUUCUUUGUAUUUUAAUAAAUUCCCAUUUUGCCCCUAGUUCAAUUAUGAGUGGCUAAUUUUCUUUCAAGCUUGGGUUGAAGGUGAAGUCUCAACAUGUGUCAUGGGCUUUAUUUGGUAAAUUUAUUUUCUUUUCCCCUCUAGUUUUUGUGGAUGAUUUGACUUAUCGUCGACAAAUAAUACUGAUCUUGUCUAGAUACCGCCUUGGUUACACCGGCUCUCUAGUAUAAGGUUAUUAUUAUUUGGCACGAUAAGCCCUUAGCACCAUAUUGAUUAGAGCGUGGUUCAUGAGGUGUGGAUCCCCCCCUCAUGAUUUAAUUGGCAUUAAUACGGAUUAUUUAGCCCAUGAUGCAUGUUGAUACGGAUCCAGAUACCCAAGUACGUCAUUUCAAUAGAUUUCGCUUCAACUUAUUCUCGCCAUUGCAAUUCCAAUUUUAGAAUUUAUUAUCGCAAUUUCAAUUCCAAUUUUAGGAUAAUUUAAAUCACUUCCACCACAAUUCCAACCACCCAUUUUGCAAAAUUAAUUCUAUACACAAUUAAAAUCCUCCUCCUCGUGGGAUCGACACUCGUCACCAUUGAUCUACACUACAAUAGAUUCGUGCGCUUGCGAGUACAUUAAAAUUUGCACAACAAUACCCACAGCGGCUAAUAGAACUCCACCAUAUUUUGAUUUCAAGUGACACCCAUCCAACCCGAUAUAUGGCCUACAGCCAUUGUUAAGGGCAUUUUUUUAAGCUGGAAAUGCCAUAAAGAAUCUUUGAAAGAGCACUUUCUCAGGCCUAGUUACAGCAUCACAAAGCACUUUACAAAUUGCACCAGGAUCAUACUUGUGAAUCACUGCAGCAUAUUGAAACAAAUCUUCGUAUCCCCUCGCAUGAUCUCCAUUAAUGUCUUUUCUUGCCCUCUCUCUAGCCCUAUAUAGUUUUAAAUCCCCUAUCCGCACACCAUAAGUCUCCAGCAUAAACUCACGAAGAACAGAAAUCUUCACAUGCGCAUCUACAGCAACUUUGCUCUUAAUUUUCUCUGCUAUCCAUUUAUUGUUCACAGCCACUGACUUUCCAGUCUGUCUACAUUCAUGCUUCUUUUGCAACUCUUCGAUUGCAAAUCCACCCUUGCCCCUUAUUUUACCUCCCAUCACAUACCAUGGACACUCAUUAAUCUUGCAUUUUCUGUAAAAUCUCCUAGGCUCAUUGUACACCUUUGUAAUUUCAAUGCCUUUAUCCACCAUCACUUCACCUAACACAUAUCUAAACUGUUCAACAUCAUCAAAUACAUCUCCUAACCUCAGCCUAUGUUUACCAUUACGCCUUGGCUUAUAUGCAUGCACUUCAAUAUCAUCCUUCAGCUGAGUGGUACCCAAAUCAUAAUAUGAAUCUGAUGUGUCUGCUAACAGCUGAGGAUCUACUUCAGCUGUUUCAUCGUCAGAACUAGAACCCCUAGCAUCAUCCAUAAUAUCUGCACCAUUAUCUUCAUUUUGGUCAUCGUCAUCAGCAUCAUCAUCAUCAGUGUCAUCUAUACGACUCCCAUCAGUUGAAUAUACUACAUCAUCAUCAUCAUUCUCAUGCCCAUCAUUCUCAUUCAGUUCUGUUGGUGGCCCUUGUAUGCCUCCAGUCCUAGGUGGUGGUUCAUUUCCACCAUCAUUCACCCAUGUAAUUUGCUCUGCAGAUAACUGCACUCCACAGUUAUGUAGCAUCGCUUGUAACACCCCACAAAGUGGUAAAUCAGGACGUAGGGUUGGCAAAAUUGUGGCUUCAAACACUGCCACUUCCAUUUAAUCAUGUACAGCGAACUGAGCCUGCAACACUGCCUCAGAAUCUACAGUAAUCGAAAGCUUGUCCCUUGGGUUGGUAACCGAUAACUGCACACUUUCAGGAGUUUCUUCAUCUGCUGCAGGGUAUAUUCUUCAGGUUCAAUCAACCCUAUAGGAUGUCUUUCACCUUUGUAAAGUAAAUGUAGUUGUAAUGGUAACAUCAUCUACCAGAUUAAAAACGAGGAAACAUUUUGAAUAACUAAAAUUACAGCAUAACUCAAAGCAAUUUAAUUAGGUAAAAAGUAAUGAAAAAUAACUAAAAUUAUGGCCAAUAACCAAAAUUUCAGCAAAACGGCAAAUGCAUGUAAGCUUAAUGGUUACAAAUAAAAAAUUAAUUAACAGUAAGCAAAAAUUAAUUAACAAUAGGCAACUAAUAAUCCUAAUCUAUUAAAUUCAAGUGCCAAUCACAACUCAAAGCAAUUUAAUUAGGUAAAAAGUAACGAACAAUAAUCAAAAUUAUGCCCAAUAACCAAAAUUACAGCAAAACGGCAAAUGCAUGUAAGCUUGAUGAUUACAAAUAAAAUGGCAAAAAUUCAUUAACAAUAACCAAGCAGUAAUCCUACUUACAAUGGACAAAGUAGAAGACAGUAGAGAUGGAAGAACACUGCUGCGAGAGUGAGAGAGAUAUGCGUCAGUUACAAUGAGCGAGAGAGAGCAGAGAUGGAAGAAGAAUCGAGAGAGAGGGGGAUUGAUUUCGAUUUCUAGGGCUCCAUGUCCAAAUUGCCCGCUUUCUUUACAAUUGCAAAACGCAACGUUUUCGCCUCACGUGAUAUGUCCAAAAUACCCUUAUGACGUCAGCAUAAUUUUUAUUCAGUUAACGGAAUUGUGGGAAAAUGCUAACAGUUUAAACAUUUAGUGGUAAAAUGAUAGUUUUACCAAACCAUGGUACUGACAUGAUGUGUCAGAAUACCUUUAGUGGGAAAAUGAUAAUAUCCCUAUGUAAAAUAUAUAAAUCUAAAAAAUAGUCUUGAAUUUUUUUUUUUUUUGGGCUCCUGUUUUAUUAUUCUUUUUCUAAAGUAAUUUUCUCUCUUCUUAUUAAAGGCUUGAGAUAAAUUAUAUAUCCCUUUUUCUUUUAUUGAAUCAUAAUUCUUCGUUUCUUCUAUUGAAUCAUAGUUCUUGUGAUUUUGAUUUUUAGUAUGUAUUGCCUACAAUUUAUCAUUGAGGUAUCAGUUACAUAAAUAUAAUUUUCCAUUAAUCUUAUUUCGAAGAUGUUAAUGAAAUAUAUUUGGUGAAAACGAUAUUAGAGUGAGGAUACGUGCACCCAUGACAAAAAUUUGCAAAGAACUCUUCAAUCUUUCAAAUUUUCCAAUUGAUAAAGAAUUGAUUUAAAAAGAAGAAGAAGAUGAUGAUGGUGAUUUAAGAUUUUAUAAUACAUGGGUGUGUCAAGGAUAUUUGUUUCAAGUUAAAAUUAUUCAAUCCUUAAUACUAAUUUCAUAAAAGGACGUUUUUAUAAUCUAAAAUUUUAUUAAAUAAAGAGGAUUAAAAAUAACUUUUAGAAUAUAUAAAUAAAUAGCCUCUCUCGAUUAUAAAGUACAAGGUCACUCGAUGAUGUCAUGAAUUUAUGUAAUCAAAUAUGAAUUAUGUAAAUGAAACAUAAGACUUAUAAAUUUAAUAUAAAACAUGUAAAUCAAUAUUAACUGUGAACUAACAUAUAAAUUAUGUAAAUAAAAUAUUAGACUUGUAAGUAGAAGGUAAAACAAACAAAUUAAUAUAGGAGUGAUAAAUUGGUAUAUUAUUGGUAAAUAAAAGAAAAACUUACAAAUGUAAUAUAUAAUUUAUAAAUCAAUAUUAAGUGUGAAAUAAAAUAUAAAUUGCGUAAAUGAAACAUAAGACAUGUAAAUAAAAGAUAAAAUAAGUAAAUUAAUAUAAGAUAUAAUAUAAAACUAUUAGUAGUAAACAAAAUAAAAAUUUAAAGAUAUAAUAUAAAACUAUAAAUCAAUAUUAAGUACAAAAUAAAACAUAAGUUUAGGUGUAAUUUACAAAAUUAAUAUAAGAUUUAUUAAAAAAAACUUACAAAUGUAAAAUAAAAAUUCAUUAUAAUAUUGAUUACCUUAUAUAUUUAUUGAUUCUAUUUUAAAUUGAAUAAUGAUAGUUUUUAUCUUAUGUAAUAAAUGUGAUGUUUUAUAUAAAUUUAUUCUCAAAAUUAGAUUUUGAAAUCUAUUCUUUUAAUGUUUUUCGAAUUUAUUGUAAGAUGACAUGAUUUUUCAUCCUUCUAAAUCUCCUCAUCAGCAAUGCAAAUAGUUUCUAAAUACAAGUAAGGGGUGACGGUUAAAAUUACAAGAAGUUUAUGUAAAACUCAAAACUAGAUUUAAUUUUAUUAAUAUGUCAUCUAUGUGUUUAGUAAUAUAAGAAUAUAUUUUUAUUUUAUUUUUUGUUUAAUCCACAUUAAGAUAAAUUAUUUCGCAUAGUUAACUUGUGUAGUAAAACAAAAAAAAAAAAUGACAGAAAAUGAAAAAAAAUAAGUUUAUAAAUAUCUUAAGACAAAUAUAGAAUUUAUUCUUAAACCAAUUUAGUAAAACUUAUUCUACUUGUUUUCAGUAUAAUUUUUUUGGUCUUAGAUUGAUGACUAUUUUUUUUUCAUUGUUUAGCUAAAGUAAAUGAAUAAAUUAUUUUUUCACUAAAAUUAUGUAGAAAUCAUGUUAAUUAUUUUAAUAAUUAACUGGUUUAUAUUAAUUUACAUGUUUUAUCUUCCAAUCACUUAUCUUAUGUAUAAUUUUAUAAAAUAUAUUUUUUACCACACCAUUAAUGCUGUAAUUCUAAUCAUGGCAUUAUAAAAUUUUCCAAUGUGGGGAAACUUCUUUACUCUAAAUAAAACUAGAGUUGUGUUGAGCACAAUUUAAAUAUCUAAACAGAGUUCCGUUGGCAUUAAACUUCAUUAUAAAAGAGUCUACAUUGGCAUCAUGCUAAUCUUAUUGACAAUAUAUAGUUGCCGGUAUUAAUUAUUUUUGCACCAUAGCUUCCGUAGAAUCAAUUGGGUACCCAGUUCCGGAUGAAGGGUUGGAACCGCCGUUGGAGCAUGUACAUAAGAUGGAGACAACUCGAAUGAGUAGUUUUGAAGAAUCAUUGCCGUGGCCAUUUUUGCUUCUACUAGAGCAAAAUUUUGUCCAACACAUAUCCUAGGACCCAAUGCGAAUGGGAAAUAUGAAACUUGAUUUUUCGCCGCCUUUGAAAUUCCUUCCGCAAACCUUUCCGGCUUAAACUCAACUGCAUCGUCACCCCAAAGUUCAGGAUCCUGGUGAACUAGGAUCAUUGGCAAGCCAAUUUGAACCCCAGCGGGUAAUGUCAAGUUUCCGAGUUUCGUUUCCUUAAAAACAGCUCGACUAAGCACAGUUACGGGCGGAUAAAGCCUGAGUACCUCGUAAAGUAUCAUCUGGACCUGUCACAUACAUACAAACACAACUGAGAUUAAUAUGAUCAAAUUGAUCAAUAUCGAAUACUAUUUCCUUCGUACUUACAAUUUUGAGGUGAUUCAAUCCAUCAUAGUCGGGCUUAUUAUUGCCAAACACUUGCAAAACCUCUUGCCUUGCACGUUCUUGCCAAUCUUGAUGCUUGCUCAAUAAGACCAUCGUCCAAUUAAGCAAAACAGAGGUAGUCUCUUGGCCGGCAAAGUAAAAUAGCUUACACUCUUCAAUCACAUCGUUCAUGCUGAACCCAACAUUUUUGUUAUUUCCAUGUUCUUCAAUCUCUCUAAAACUGGUUUCCAUCAGUAUGCCUAACAAGUCAUCAUUCGCAGCUUCCCCUGCUCUCAUUGCCUUCUCCCUAUUUUUGAUGAUUCCCAUCAAUGAAGCCCGGAUUUCCUU
This 31598-nucleotide long non-coding RNA is filed under the name Citrus maxima (pomelo). RNAcentral's name for it is "long non-coding RNA (CMAX_LNC002255)". The record is from RNAcentral. Lineage: Eukaryota; Viridiplantae; Streptophyta; Magnoliopsida; Sapindales; Rutaceae.